RNAcentral lists this ribosomal RNA (1373 nucleotides) under uncultured bacterium. RNAcentral describes it as "bacterial SSU rRNA". It matches the Rfam family "Bacterial small subunit ribosomal RNA", at positions 28 to 1381 of the family's 1533-position model. The record is from RNAcentral.
GAUGAACGCUGGCGGCGUGCCUAAUACAUGCAAGUCGAGCGAACGGACGAGAAGCUUGGUUCUCUGAUGUAAGCGGGGGACAGGUGAGUAACACGUGGAUAACCUACCUAUAAGACUGGGAUAACUUCGGGAAACCGGAGCUAAUACCGGAUAAUAUUUUGAACCGCAUGGUUCAAAAGUGAAAGACCGUCUUGCUGUCACUUAUAGAUGGAUCCACGCUGCAUUAGCUAGUUGGUAAGGUAACGGCUUACCAAAGCAACGAUGCAUAUCCGACCUGAAAGGGUGAUCGGCCACACUGGAACUGAGACACAGUCCACACUCCUACGGGAGGCAGCAAUAUGGAAUCUUCCGCAAUGGGCGAAAGCCUGACGGAGCAACGCCGCGUGAGUGAUGAAGGUCUUCGGAUCGUAAAACUCUGUUAUUAGGGAAGAACAUAUGUGUAAGUAACUGUGCACAUCUUGACGGUACCUAAUCAGAAAGCCACGGCUAACUACGUGCCAGCAGCCGCGGUAAUACGUAGGUGGCAAGCGUUAUCCGGAAUUAUUGGGCGUAAAGCGCGCGUAGGCGGUUUUUUAAGUCUGAUGUGAAAGCCCACGGCUCAACCGUGGAGGGUCAUUGGAAACUGGAAAACUUGAGUGCAGAAGAGGAAAGUGGAAUUCCAUGUGUAGCGGUGAAAUGCGCAGAGAUAUGGAGGAACACCAGUGGCGAAGGCGACUUUCUGGUCUGUAACUGACGCUGAUGUGCGAAAGCGUGGAGAUCAAACAGGAUUAGAUACCCUGGUAGUCCACGCCGUAAACGAUGAGUGCUAAGUGCUAGGGGGGUUUCCGCCCCUUAUUGCUGCAGCUAACGCAUUAAGCACUCCGCCUGGGGGGUACGACCGCAAGGUUGAAACUCAAAGGAGUUGACGGGGACCCGCACAAGCGGUGGAGCAUGUGGUUUAAUUCGAAGCAACGCGAAGAACCUUACCAAAUCUUGACAUCCUUUGACAACUCUAGAGAUAGAGCCUUCCCCUUCGGGGGACAAAGUGACAGGUGGUGCAUGGUUGUUGUCAGCUCGUGUCGUGAGAUGUUGGGUUAAGUCCCGCAACGAGCGCAACCCUUAAGCUUAGUUGCCAUCAUUAAGUUGGGCACUCUAAGUUGACUGCCGGUGACAAACCGGAGGAAGGUGGGGAUGACGUCGAAUCAUCAUGCCCCUUAUGAUUUGGGCUACACACGUGCUACAAUGGACAAUACAAAGGGCAGCGAAACCGCGAGGUCAAGCAAAUCCCAUAAAGUUGUUCUCAGUUCGGAUUGUAGUCUGCAACUCGACUACAUGAAGCUGGAAUCGCUAGUAAUCGUAGAUCAGCAUGCUACGGUGAAUACGUUCCCGGGUCU